Molecule: unclassified non-coding RNA, 253 nt
Filed under: uncultured Planctomycetia bacterium
Lineage: Bacteria; Pseudomonadati; Planctomycetota; Planctomycetia
Description: contains 16S-23S intergenic spacer region
Rfam family: Bacterial small subunit ribosomal RNA
Source: RNAcentral
GACGAACCGUGCGGACGUUGUUCGGAAUCACUGGGCUUAAAGGGCGCGUAGGCGGGCAGCAUAGUCGGUGGUGAAAUCUUUCGGCUUAACCGGAAAAUUGCCUCCGAUACUGGUUGUCUUGAGUGAGGUAGGGGCAGAUGGAACUUCCAGUGGAGCGGUGAAAUGUGUUGAUAUUGGAAGGAACGCCGGUGGCGAAAGCGAUCUGCUGGACCUCUUCUGACGCUGAGGCGCGAAAGCGUAGGUAGCGAACAGG